GCAGCGCCGGGCAGCCAAUUCGGAAGGAGAGGGGACAGCUGCAGCGGUGCUUACUACCAAUGACAUAGCGCUGCUGCAGCUCCAGUCCCCCUCCCUCCUCCUCCUUCUCACCUGCCUGCACCGAGGGAGAUGCCAGCACGAGGAGCCUGUCAGCAGGGAGAAGGUUAUGGAGCUGUGGUCUGACCUCCUCCUGCUGUGAUGAUCUCCGCUCUGUUCUUACUACAAACCGCUCUCUGACCAGACUGGAGCUGAUAGGGAAUGUUCUGGGGGACUCUGGAAUAAAACUUCGGGAGUGUGUGAGGCCGCCUCUGCAGCUUCUGGUCCUUUGAUGACUCUUCUCUGGACUGAAUCUGGAUAACAUUGCCAAACAGGAGCCGAAUGACAGAAAAUGACCUGUAUGAUGCUUGGAGGCAGCACAUCUACUGGAGAAGACAACAUAGUCUAACCUCCCAAUACAUCACUGCCGUAACUGAUGUGCUGAUAUGUAAUACUUACUGACCAGUGGUCAUAUUGCAGAAUUUUACUGCAGUAUCAUAAUAUUAGCCAUAAAAUAACCAGGCCAUGCCCGAUACUAAUAAUGUGUGAGGCCAUGUCACUUUGCCAGCUACCUAUUACUAGAGAUGACUGGGCUCCUUCUCUUGGAAACUAAACCCACUCGUACUUAAUGUUUCUGAGUUGUGACAAGUCAAUGCUCGGCUCUUUUAGGCCCUACACACUGGCCGAUUUUUAGAAAGAUAUGAACGAUCUCGUUCAUAAAUGAACGAGAACUCGUUCAUAUCUUUCAGUGUGGAGACCUAAGCGAUGAACGAUGCGCGUCCCCGCGCUCGUUCAUCGCUGGUCUCCAGUCGGCUGUGCAUGCAGGCCAAUAUGGACGAUCUCGUCCAUAUUUGCCUGCACUUCAAUGCAGCUGCGUGACGGGGGGAGUGAAGAAACUUCACUCCCCCCGUCACUGCCCCCCCACCGCCGGGUCGCUCGUCGGCCGUAUCCGCCGUCGGGCAGCUCGGCGGCGGGUCGGCCAGUGAGUAGGGCCCUUUUCUCCUGGGUUUGGAUCUCAAAACAAGGCAAUACAUAAUCUGCCGGCACAGGAUCUCACAUGUUUUGGAUUGUAAAUAAAAGUCCCUCCCUUGUGUUCGGCCACAGAGGCGGACUAGUCAUUCUUGUGCUGGAGCAAUGUGUUGCUGUUCUAGUAAAGCCGAAGCACUGUCUGUGUCAUUUAAAAUAUGCCAUUAGAAGCAUAAUAUUUUUUUGGGGGAAAUCUUGCAUAUAUUCUGGUUCUGGCACUGGGGGUAAUUCAGAGAUGAUCGCAGCAGCAAAUUUGUUAGCAGUUGGGCAAAACC
Long non-coding RNA from Pseudophryne corroboree (corroboree frog), 1337 nucleotides. RefSeq lists it as uncharacterized. Lineage: Eukaryota; Metazoa; Chordata; Amphibia; Anura; Myobatrachidae. The transcript is spliced from 3 exons. The record is from RefSeq and is a predicted model, not a curated record.